This 530-nucleotide long non-coding RNA is filed under the name Mytilus galloprovincialis (Mediterranean mussel). Lineage: Eukaryota; Metazoa; Mollusca; Bivalvia; Mytilida; Mytilidae. The record is from RNAcentral.
GGUCAUAUUUGACUGUAGUGUUCUAUGGCUUUGGUUUGAUACCUCACCCAAUAUGAUAGUUUAAAAAAAUAAUUUUAAAGUAUUGUCCUGCAUGACACUUGAUUUUUACCUGAAAUUGAUAUUUUUCAUAAGGUUAAGGUGCUCUCAACAUUUUAUAGGUUGAAAACUUGAUUUUUGAAGUUUUGUUUAUAUAACGUCGUUUUAGGAUUUUUUUUUAUAAAAAAAUCUCAAUGAUUAAGGUUUAUGUAUAAUAACAAACAUUACUAAAGCCAAAACAGUAUCAUUUGUAUUUAGGUAGAGUUUAGAAAUAGAAAAAAAUGUCAAAAUUGAAACCCACCCAAAUUUUCACAAAUUUUUACAUAUGACCUUUGACCUCAAUUUAAAAAAAAUGUGACCAUAUCAAGUCCUGACGACAGGCAUAUUAUUAUAGUACACGAUUUCCUCUUUCCAAUGAUAUAUUAUGUAGGUGUGUGUUCGGUGGGGAGAUUAAAUUCCAAAAAAUCUGCCUUCAGUCACCGCACUAAUAAUGU